This 948-nucleotide ribosomal RNA is filed under the name Neovermilia globula. RNAcentral's name for it is "partial 28S ribosomal RNA". It matches the Rfam family "Eukaryotic large subunit ribosomal RNA", at positions 75 to 823 of the family's 3401-position model. The record is from RNAcentral. Lineage: Eukaryota; Metazoa; Annelida; Polychaeta; Sabellida; Serpulidae.
UUCCCUUAGUAACGGCGAGUGAAACGGGAGAAGCCCAGCCCUGAAUCCCUACGUCAUAUGAUUAAUGGGAGAUGUGGGGUUUGGGAGUGCCGGUGGGACUGUGCGUUUGCCUGCGUUCUCCUGAUCGAGGCUUGACCCAUAGAGGGUGUAAGGCCUAUUUGGCAACACGCGUUGUCUCUAGGGUGCUCCUUGGAGUCGGGUUGUUUGUGAAUGCAGCCCUAAGUGGGUGGUAAACUCCAUCUAAGGCUAAAUAUUUGUACGAGUCCGAUAGCAAACAAGUACCGUGAGGGAAAGUUGAAAAGCACUUUGAAGAGAGAGUUGGACAGUACGUGAAACCGUUUACAGGUAAACGAAUGGGACCGCAAGAUUGGCCUAGGGUAUUCAACCCACCCGCAAUGGUGGCGGCCUACGAUGGCACUAAGCCGUGUGUAUGUACCGUGUGUGCCUGAGUGGGUGGAUGCAGUUACCCAAGAGCUGAACGCUAUGACGGUGUGUCGGGAGGUCGGACGCGCUUCCCCAAGGUAGUCGUGGAAUUGUUCAUGGCGUUAUAGGGGGAAUUGAUAUGCUGACUGCCUGGUGCGCGAGGAACUCGGGCCGUAUGUGCUAACCUUUGUUCGCUCGGCGGUGAUGACGGGCGAGGACUGCAUGCAGUGUUCUGCCGACUUUUACUGUUGGGUUCUGAACGGGGAUGAAGUGCGUGAGCUUUUAGGGUCGGUAGCGGAUGUCGGCACCCCAUUCGACCCGUCUUGAAACACGGACCAAGGAGUCUGGCAUGUGCGCAAGUCAAAGGGACUACAGAAUCCCCAGGGCACAAUAAAAGUAAAGGGUUGGCUUCGGUUGAUCUUAGGUGUGAUCCCGGGAUUUCCAUAUCCUGCGCGCAACACCGGCCCGUCUCGUAGCCGUAGUGCUUGGGGCGGAGCUUGAGCGCACAUGCUGGGACCCGAAAGG